This is a transfer RNA of Camelus ferus (Wild Bactrian camel), 72 nucleotides long. It matches the Rfam family "tRNA". Rfam says of the family: Transfer RNA (tRNA) molecules are approximately 80 nucleotides in length. Their secondary structure includes four short double-helical elements and three loops (D, anti-codon, and T loops). Further hydrogen bonds mediate the characteristic L-shaped molecular structure. tRNAs have two regions of fundamental functional importance: the anti-codon, which is responsible for specific mRNA codon recognition, and the 3' end, to which the tRNAs corresponding amino acid is attached (by aminoacyl-tRNA synthetases). tRNAs cope with the degeneracy of the genetic code in two manners: having more than one tRNA (with a specific anti-codon) for a particular amino acid; and 'wobble' base-pairing, i.e. permitting non-standard base-pairing at the 3rd anti-codon position. The record is from Rfam. NCBI's taxonomy places the organism in Eukaryota, Metazoa, Chordata, Mammalia, Artiodactyla, Camelidae.
GAGGGUACAGCUCAGUGGUAGAGUAUAUGCUUAGCACGCACGAGGUCCUGGGUUCAAUCCCCAGUACCUCCA